This 182-nucleotide ribosomal RNA is filed under the name uncultured bacterium. RNAcentral describes it as "partial 16S ribosomal RNA". It matches the Rfam family "Bacterial small subunit ribosomal RNA", at positions 1319 to 1500 of the family's 1533-position model. The record is from RNAcentral.
CAUGAAGCUGGAAUCGCUAGUAAUCGCAAAUCAGAAUGUUGCGGUGAAUACGUUCCCGGGUCUUGUACACACCGCCCGUCACACCAUGGGAGUCGGAUAUGCCCGAAGCCAGUGACCUAACCGCAAGGAAGGAGCUGUCGAAGGCAGGUCUGAUAACUGGGGUGAAGUCGUAACAAGGUAAC